UCCUAUCACUUUACACUCACUGUUUUGAAUACAGCAGGCACCAAAUUAGGAACUGGCUGAUUCUAGUCGAACUCCGAUGUCUCAGACUGGGGCUUGUAUGAAGGGAAGUGGAGGAGAUGCCAUGGCUGUUAAUGACCACUAGAGGCUCUCAGGGCUGGGCAGGGUAUGGGGGCUGUGUAUAUGUGAUCUCCCACUACCCCCCACCUGGCCAGAGCUAAAAUAAUAAAAUGCUGAGCUCACUGUUCCCCCACCCUCUCCCCCGGCACCGGGCUCCUCCUGCUGCUGGGACAGUGCUCUAGUAGAACAGACAGACCUACUGACACAGGGGAGGUGAGAAGGGAGGUGACCACCAGGACUGGUAGGUGGGGAAGACAGGGGGCUUAUGGAUGAGAGCCCGGUGGGAGAUGGGAGGAGAAGAGUGGCUCCUAUGGGGAAUGAUGUGGAGUGUGUCCCUGUCUCUGUCACUCAGUGUAUAUUUCUGCCACUGUGCCAUCCUACCCCUUAACUGUGUAUAGUUUACAUUGUCGAUGUGUGUCUCACAUACUUUCUGGAUCUUUCAUAUUCAGCAUGGUGUGUAUGUAUAGCUCCUUGUGUGUAUCUUAUAUUGUAUAAAAUUGUGCGAGUUUAAUAUUCCCACUGUUUUUAAAGAAACUUUACCCCAUUUACA
Molecule: small RNA, 667 nt
Filed under: Pongo abelii (Sumatran orangutan)
Lineage: Eukaryota; Metazoa; Chordata; Mammalia; Primates; Hominidae
Description: processed transcript
Source: RNAcentral